UAGGGAAUCUUCCGCAAUGGACGCAAGUCUGACGGAGCAACGCCGCGUGAGUGAAGAAGGAUUUCGGUUCGUAAAACUCUGUUGUUAGAGAAGAACAGCGCAUAGAGUAACUGUUAUGCGUGUGACGGUAUCUAACCAGAAAGGGACGGCUAACUACGUGCCAGCAGCCGCGGUAAUACGUAGGUCCCGAGCGUUGUCCGGAUUUAUUGGGCGUAAAGCGAGCGCAGGCGGUUAGAAAAGUCUGAAGUGAAAGGCAGUGGCUCAACCAUUGUAGGCUUUGGAAACUGUUUAAAUUGAGUGCAGAAGGGGAGAGUGGAAUUCCAUGUGUAGCGGUGAAAUGCGUAGAUAUAUGGAGGAACACCAGUGGCGAAGGCGACUCUCUGGUCUGUAACUGACGCUGAGGCUCGAAAGCGUGGGGAGCGAACAGG
This 428-nucleotide ribosomal RNA is filed under the name Bacteroidota bacterium. RNAcentral's name for it is "Bacteroidetes bacterium partial 16S ribosomal RNA". It matches the Rfam family "Bacterial small subunit ribosomal RNA", at positions 355 to 776 of the family's 1533-position model. Lineage: Bacteria; Pseudomonadati; Bacteroidota. The record is from RNAcentral.